GCCAGGCAUGGUGGUGCAUGCCUGUAGUCCCAGCCACUCAGGAGGCUGAGGUGGGAGGAUCGCUUGAGCCCAGGAGGUUGAGGCUGUAGUGAGCUAUGAUGGCACCAUAGCAUUCUAGCCUGAGUGACAGAGCAAGACCCUGUCUCUU
RNAcentral lists this non-coding RNA (148 nucleotides) under Nomascus leucogenys (northern white-cheeked gibbon). The record is from Rfam by way of RNAcentral. Lineage: Eukaryota; Metazoa; Chordata; Mammalia; Primates; Hylobatidae.